UUGAUUGUCCUGAAAAACCUCUAUUUAUCCACAGAAAAGACAGAAGUGUAAACUCCAUGAAUGUGCCUUAGCCUUAAUCUGGAGUGACCAGCUCUCCAUGUGAGAAGGUAGUUUAGUCUCCAUUCUCAUUCAGUCUUUGGCCUGU
Chrysemys picta bellii (western painted turtle) is the source of this 145-nucleotide unclassified non-coding RNA. Lineage: Eukaryota; Metazoa; Chordata; Testudines; Emydidae. The record is from Ensembl.